GAUGAACGCUAGCUACAGGCUUAACACAUGCAAGUCGAGGGGCAGCAUGACUGAAGCUUGCUUCAGUUGAUGGCGACCGGCGCACGGGUGCGUAACGCGUAUCGAAUCUGCCCGUUACUCGGGGAUAGCCUUGCGAAAGUAAGAUUAAUACCCGAUGUUGUCAUUAUGCCGCAUGACAUGAUGACCAAAGGUUUACCGGUAACGGAUGACGAUGCGUCUGAUUAGGUAGAUGGCGGGGUAACGGCCCACCAUGCCGACGAUCAGUAGGGGUUCUGAGAGGAAGGUCCCCCACAUUGGAACUGAGACACGGUCCAAACUCCCUAACGGGAGGCAGCAGUGAGGAAUAUUGGUCAAUGGACGAGAGCCUGAACCAGCCAAGUAGCGUGCGGGACGACGGCCCUAUGGGUUGUAAACUGCUUUUANAAGGAUAAGUGAGUCUACGUGAGACUUUUUGCAUGUACCUUAUGAAUAAGGACCGGCUAAUUCCGUGCCAG
RNAcentral lists this ribosomal RNA (494 nucleotides) under uncultured bacterium. Its description in RNAcentral is "bacterial SSU rRNA". It matches the Rfam family "Bacterial small subunit ribosomal RNA", at positions 28 to 511 of the family's 1533-position model. The record is from RNAcentral.